RNAcentral lists this ribosomal RNA (543 nucleotides) under uncultured Glomeromycotina. RNAcentral's name for it is "SSU rRNA". It matches the Rfam family "Eukaryotic small subunit ribosomal RNA", at positions 552 to 1096 of the family's 1831-position model. Lineage: Eukaryota; Fungi; Glomeromycota. The record is from RNAcentral.
AGGGCAAGUCUGGUGCCAGCAGCCGCGGUAAUUCCAGCUCCAAUAGCGUAUAUUAAAGUUGUUGCAGUUAAAAAGCUCGUAGUUGAAUUUCGGGGUCAGCAGGUUGGUCGUGCCAAUGGUAUGCACUGGCCUUGCUGAUUCCUCCCUCUUGAUGAGCCGUAAUGCCAUUAAUUUGGUGUUGUGGGGGAUCAGGACUGUUACUUUGAAAAAAUUAGAGUGUUCAAAGCAGGCAAGCGCUUGAAUACAUUAGCAUGGAAUAAUGAAAUAGGACGUUCGAUCCUAUUUUGUUGGUUUCUAGGAUUGACGUAAUGAUUAAUAGGGAUAGUUGGGGGCAUUAGUAUUCAAUUGUCAGAGGUGAAAUUCUUGGAUUUAUUGAAGACUAACUACUGCGAAAGCAUUUGCCAAGGAUGUUUUCAUUAAUCAAGAACGAAAGUUAGGGGAUCGAAGACGAUCAGAUACCGUCGUAGUCUUAACCAUAAACUAUGCCGACUAGGGAUCGGAUGAUGUUAAUUUUUUAAUGACUCAUUCGGCGCCUUACGGGAA